CAGCAGCCGCGGUAAUACGUAGGGUGCGAGCGUUAAUCGGAAUUACUGGGCGUAAAGCGUGCGCAGGCGGUUGUGUAAGACAGGUGUGAAAUCCCCGGGCUUAACCUGGGAACUGCGCUUGUGACUGCACAGCUAGAGUAUGGCAGAGGGGGGUGGAAUUCCACGUGUAGCAGUGAAAUGCGUAGAGAUGUGGAGGAACACCGAUGGCGAAGGCAGCCCCCUGGGCCAAUACUGACGCUCAUACACGAAAGCGUGGGGAGCAAACAGGAUUAGAUACCCCUGUAGUCCCUGUCUCUUAUAC
RNAcentral lists this ribosomal RNA (301 nucleotides) under uncultured bacterium. RNAcentral describes it as "partial 16S ribosomal RNA". It matches the Rfam family "Bacterial small subunit ribosomal RNA", at positions 509 to 807 of the family's 1533-position model. The record is from RNAcentral.